AUUCUCUCAGAACUGCAGAGGACUGAGUCAAGUUCAGAGCUGUCUCCUCAUUUCUCCCCUGUUUUACAGCAACACCAGGAAUCAGCAAAAACAGGGAUGAAGAGUGACCCACUCCUCAUCCUCACUACCCCCAGAGCAUCAUCUCAGUGAUUCACACCUCUCCAGGGUUAGCCAGAGUGAAGUGUGUAGGAGUGAGUUUGAUGGUUCUGGUCUACAGGAGGUGUGCUGCCUGUCAGACCCACUUCACCCAAAAUCCCAAAGCCCCUGAUGACCACAGGCCAUGUGCUGUUUAGCCACUUUUUCAGCAGAGCAUGCUGGGAAUCUUACAGUUUCCACAUGAAAAGCCCUGAAGCUCCAAAAGCUGCUGUGAAAGCUGUGAGUGACUUUCAAGCCCUGUGUUUACGUCUCUGAGGAGAAGGCCCAGAUACUGCAGAGAGAAGAAAAGAAAAGCCGCGGUCUCGGUACCGUCGGCUGCACGGCGACACUGUCAGAGGGAACACAGCGGCGCUGCGAUUGUUUCGG
Molecule: long non-coding RNA, 522 nt
Filed under: Astyanax mexicanus (Mexican tetra)
Lineage: Eukaryota; Metazoa; Chordata; Actinopteri; Characiformes; Acestrorhamphidae
Description: lncRNA (ENSAMXG00005005012.1)
Source: RNAcentral